Molecule: small RNA, 131 nt
Filed under: Spermophilus dauricus (Daurian ground squirrel)
Lineage: Eukaryota; Metazoa; Chordata; Mammalia; Rodentia; Sciuridae
Description: TUC338 (ENSSDAG00000008249.1)
Source: RNAcentral
UUGGCAGGUGGUCAGGACAGGUACAGCACAGGCAGCCACAGUGUGAGCUUUCCCCCACCACCCCGUCCAUGUGCCUCAACCCUAACCUGGAGGGACCACCUCUAGAGGCCUAUACCAUUCAAGGAGAGUAU